GAUGAAGAACGCAGCGAAAUGCGAUAAGUAAUGUGAAUUGCAGAAUCCAGUGAAUCAUCGAAUCUUUGAACGCACAUUGCGCCCGCCAGUAUUCUGGCGGGCAUGCCUGUUCGAGCGUCAUUUCAACCCUCAAGCUCUGCUUGGCGUUGGGGAUCGGCAACCCGGCUUCGCGCCGCGCCGUCCCUCAAAUACAGUGGCGGUCACGCUGCAGCUUCCUUUGCGUAGUAGCACACCUCGCACCGGAGAGCAGCGCGGCCACGCCGUAAAACCCCCGACUUCUUGUUUUUGACCUCGAAUCAGGUAGGACUACCCGCUGAACUUAAGCAUAUCAAUAAGCGGAGGA
RNAcentral lists this unclassified non-coding RNA (343 nucleotides) under soil metagenome. Its description in RNAcentral is "partial contains 5.8S ribosomal RNA, internal transcribed spacer 2, and large subunit ribosomal RNA". The stretch from base 1 to 120 matches the Rfam family "5.8S ribosomal RNA", at positions 35 to 154 of the family's 154-position model. The record is from RNAcentral.